UAUAUAUAUAUAGAAUAGGGCUAGGAUACUUGUAAAAAUAUCAGGGGGGUGAUACUUGUGUGUUUUUAGCCCUUGGAUAGAGAAAUGUGAGGUUGAGAUGACGGUGGUAGGUGGUGGUAAGUGGAUUAAUGUUUAAUCCAAGGACUAUUAAUAAUCAAAAAGUAGAUCCAAUGGCUUAAAACCUAAUAGCACCAUAAUGGUGAUACUUGUAAAAGUAUCAUAGCUCAACUCUAUAUAUAUAGAGUAGGGCUAGAAUACUUGUAAAAAUAUAAUGGGGGUAAUACUUGUGUGUUUUUAGCCCUCGGAUGGAGAGAUGUGAGGUUGAGAUGAUGGUGGUAGGUGGUGGUAGGUGGGGGUAGGUGGAAUAGUGUUUAAUCCAAGGGCUAUUAAUAAUCAAAAAGUAGAUCCAAUGGCUUAAAACCUAAUAGCACCAUAAUGGUGAUACUUGUAAAAGUAUCAUAGCUCAACUCUAUAUAUAUAUAUACUAGUUGAGUGUACCUGCAAAUAACAAUUAUUAUAAUUUAUUUCAAAUCAAUAUAAAUGUGUACAUUAUAUAUAUCCAAAAUUUUAAAAUAAAAUUAUAUUUAUAAAUUAAAAU
RNAcentral lists this long non-coding RNA (598 nucleotides) under Ananas comosus (pineapple). RNAcentral describes it as "long non-coding RNA (ACOM_LNC043827)". The record is from RNAcentral. Lineage: Eukaryota; Viridiplantae; Streptophyta; Magnoliopsida; Poales; Bromeliaceae.